GCAAGUCGAACGGUAACAUUUCUAGCUUGCUAGAAGAUGACGAGUGGCGGACGGGUGAGUAAUGCUUGGGAACUUGCCUUUGCGAGGGGGAUAACAGUUGGAAACGACUGCUAAUACCGCAUAAUGUCUUCGGACCAAACGGGGCUUCGGCUCCGGCGCAAAGAGAGGCCCAAGUGAGAUUAGCUAGUUGGUAAGGUAACGGCUUACCAAGGCGACGAUCUCUAGCUGUUCUGAGAGGAAGAUCAGCCACACUGGGACUGAGACACGGCCCAGACUCCUACGGGAGGCAGCAGUGGGGAAUAUUGCACAAUGGGGGAAACCCUGAUGCAGCCAUGCCGCGUGUGUGAAGAAGGCCUUCGGGUUGUAAAGCACUUUCAGUUGUGAGGAAAAGUUAGUAGUUAAUACCUGCUAGCCGUGACGUUAACAACAGAAGAAGCACCGGCUAACUCCGUGCCAGCAGCCGCGGUAAUACGGAGGGUGCGAGCGUUAAUCGGAAUUACUGGGCGUAAAGCGCACGCAGGCGGUUUGUUAAGCUAGAUGUGAAAGCCCCGGGCUCAACCUGGGAUGGUCAUUUAGAACUGGCAGACUAGAGUCUUGGAGAGGGGAGUGGAAUUCCAGGUGUAGCGGUGAAAUGCGUAGAUAUCUGGAGGAACAUCAGUGGCGAAGGCGACUCCCUGGCCAAAGACUGACGCUCAUGUGCGAAAGUGUGGGUAGCGA
This 717-nucleotide ribosomal RNA is filed under the name uncultured bacterium. Its description in RNAcentral is "bacterial SSU rRNA". It matches the Rfam family "Bacterial small subunit ribosomal RNA", at positions 57 to 771 of the family's 1533-position model. The record is from RNAcentral.